Molecule: small nucleolar RNA, 148 nt
Filed under: Carlito syrichta (Philippine tarsier)
Lineage: Eukaryota; Metazoa; Chordata; Mammalia; Primates; Tarsiidae
Source: RNAcentral
GGCCUCACUUCUAUGGGGUUGUGGGGGUAGGAGAAGGGGAGGAUCCCUUUUCUCCUCAGUCAAGGCUGGAGGACAAAAUAAGCCCUCAAGGAUCACUGUCAGGACUGACACAAGCUGGGAAGCCUUGUUUCCCUAUCUCAAGACAUCU